Molecule: ribosomal RNA, 562 nt
Filed under: Colletotrichum sp. AX129
Lineage: Eukaryota; Fungi; Ascomycota; Sordariomycetes; Glomerellales; Glomerellaceae
Description: eukaryotic LSU rRNA
Rfam family: 5.8S ribosomal RNA (bases 233-386)
Source: RNAcentral
GUAACAAGGUCUCCGUUGGUGAACCAGCGGAGGGAUCAUUACUGAGUUACCGCUCUAUAACCCUUUGUGAACAUACCUACAACUGUUGCUUCGGCGGGUAGGCCGUCCCCUGAAAAGGACGCCUCCCGGCCCGGACCGGACCCCCCGUGGGGCCGGACUCGGCGCCCGCCGGAGGAUAACCAAACGCUAUUUUAACGACGUUUCUUCUGAGUGGCAUAAGCAAAAUAAUCAAAACUUUUAACAACGGAUCUCUUGGUUCUGGCAUCGAUGAAGAACGCAGCGAAAUGCGAUAAGUAAUGUGAAUUGCAGAAUUCAGUGAAUCAUCGAAUCUUUGAACGCACAUUGCGCCCGCCAGCAUUCUGGCGGGCAUGCCUGUUCGAGCGUCAUUUCAACCCUCAAGCUCUGCUUGGUGUUGGGGCUCUACGGUCGACGUAGGCCCUCAAAGGUAGUGGCGGACCCUCCCGGAGCCUCCUUUGCGUAGUAACAUUUCGUCUCGCACUGGGAUCCGGAGGGACUCUUGCCGUAAAACCCCCCAAUUUUCAAGGUGACCUCGGAUCAGUAG